Mercenaria mercenaria is the source of this 1207-nucleotide long non-coding RNA. RefSeq lists it as uncharacterized. The record is from RefSeq and is a predicted model, not a curated record. Lineage: Eukaryota; Metazoa; Mollusca; Bivalvia; Venerida; Veneridae. The transcript is spliced from 3 exons.
ACCAUACAAUGCGGUAAACCGCAUGUGUCCUAGAAAAAUAAAGUAAACAGUUAACAAGUGUAUAUAAGGCUUAUUGAACAACGUAUUGUUCAACAGUAAGACAGCAAACUUGGCAGAUGCAAAAUUACUAAAAUAAAGUUUCUUUGUGUUUAGAUAAGUCGGCAAACAUGGUGUUUAAAGCGUGCAUUUUGUUAAUUGUUCUCCUGUCAGUCUGUGGACUUCCUCUAGCACUUGCCGCCGGUGCGUCAAAUUGCUGGGCGCCACCAGCCAUUCCUGGGCCAACAUGCAUUUCUGACACAUCUAUAUGGGGCCGUCCCGGCUUCAAAGUUCGGUAUUCAAUCAGUGUAAGCGGGAGUACACUAAUAUGUUGCACGGCAUUCCACUGUAAAGGUAGUAAUUGCAGACUGUACGAUAUCGGAUGUGGUCACGGGAGUUGGAGUACCACCGGGUUGACGUGGGGCAAUAAUCUUGCUUCACCAAAAAUGAAAUGUAAAGGCAUUCCUUUGGGAUCAUUUUACUCAUUUACGGUCUAAAAGUGCAUUACACAAACACACAAUAACUAUUUCAAUACCUGUAAAUGAUAACCCUGACUUAUGGGUACGCUUUCAAAGAAUGGUCAUAAAUAAAACAUUUCUUAUUUAUUUAAACAUGGGAAAUAGUGUUGCAAAGUUACUUUUAUCAUCACAUCACAGCACGACAAGAAAUGAAAGGAAAAGUGAAUUAUGUGAAACAAGUGAAGAUGAAUACAAUUUGAUCAUGAUUUGUCAACUAUUAAGAGUGCAGAAUAUUCCUUAUUGCACACAUCCAAGUAUGGCAAAAGUUAUAGAUCUUUUAAAAUGUCGCAAUAUUUAUAUUGAAUAAUUCAGUCUUAUUAAAAUACCAAUAGUUUACCUAGCGUAAAAAGGCUUUUCGAUAUUUUAGUGUAAAGGGAAACAACUACAGCGGCAUACAAGGCGUAUAAUCAAUACCGGCAUGAGUUGCGGUUCUCGUAUAUUUUACGUUCAAAGAUGGGGAUGCGAAUAUAGCCAUAAAUAAUUGAUAUAUUCCUUAGAUAAACAAAUAAACAAUUUUACUUUGUUAGUCUGCCCUGAUAAUAUAUAUUUUCAACGGAAGUAAACAUUUAGGAUAUUUUGUUAUUUUGUUUAAAUGUUGUUUGAAAAAUACAUUUCAUGUGUCAAUUCAUCAAAUAAUAAAUUUAUAGAAUUCA